UAGCUCAGUUGGUAGAGCAUGGCGCUUGCAAUGUCUGGGCUGUGGGUUCGAUUCCCAC
RNAcentral lists this transfer RNA (58 nucleotides) under Salmo salar (Atlantic salmon). It matches the Rfam family "tRNA", at positions 8 to 63 of the family's 71-position model. From Rfam's summary of the family: Transfer RNA (tRNA) molecules are approximately 80 nucleotides in length. Their secondary structure includes four short double-helical elements and three loops (D, anti-codon, and T loops). Lineage: Eukaryota; Metazoa; Chordata; Actinopteri; Salmoniformes; Salmonidae. The record is from Rfam by way of RNAcentral. RNAcentral also lists the same sequence under 1 other name.